GGCUGGUGGGCCGUGCCAAGAUGGCGGCCGGGCGGGGGCCGGGGUCUGGACCGAACCGGAGCGGCGGGGCUGGGGGUCCCGCGCACCUCGCCCUCUUCUUCUCGGCCCUGGAAGAGGCGGGCAGCUCCGGCUGCAGCUGCGCGACGAGCCCAGCAGCCACAGCGCGGCAGCCGAUGGAUGCUUGUGGAGAAGGGAAGCUGCCAGGGAUGAGAAGAUCACUGCUGAAGCAGGGCACACUGCAAACAUGACGUGCUCUUUCAUGCUUGGAGCUGGAUAAAUCUCCCUGCCUCAGCAGGUGGAAAGUGAAAGCCAGGCCUGAAGCAAUUCUGGUGGUUAAUCCCCAGGCCAUGCUCCCCACUUCUCAAAAGCUCAUGGCACUUCUGGGCUUUGCUCUCUUGGUUUUGGUGAUCUCAGUACCACAUUUUACACUGAAAUGUGGCCGAGGAGCCCUGAGUCAGCUCAGAAUCCUGCUCAAGUCCAAGAGCCCUGGGACAGCUCAAAACCCUGCUCCAUGUUCACUGCUGGCAUUUCUUGUGUGGAUGGAUUGGUUUUACUUGAUGCCUUGUGUUCAAAUGCCAUUCCUUACUCCUGCUCUUGCUGAGGACACUCAGUGGGUUGGGGCUGGGCCCUGCUUGGAGCAGAGAAGGAUGGGAUUGCAAGGAGCUUCCCUCCAAACUGGGAAAACACAAGGACCCUGAUGAGACAGGCAGUGAGACUGUGCCCAGUGCCUGGCAGUCUGCCUUUGUCACAGCUCCAGGGGCACAGCCUGCUCCUGCAGCCCCUCCCUCUCUGCCUGUCCCCUGGGAUCUGUAUUUCUUGAAAAUAAAUGGAAUUUCACCCUCCCAAAGUUUCCUUCAAAGUGACAGAGGAAAAGCUUAAUAAAAAUUCCAAGAUCACA
Molecule: long non-coding RNA, 898 nt
Organism: Serinus canaria (Common canary)
Lineage: Eukaryota; Metazoa; Chordata; Aves; Passeriformes; Fringillidae
Exons: 2
Source: RefSeq, a predicted model, not a curated record